Molecule: transfer RNA, 82 nt
Filed under: Armillaria gallica
Lineage: Eukaryota; Fungi; Basidiomycota; Agaricomycetes; Agaricales; Physalacriaceae
Description: tRNA-Asp
Source: RNAcentral
UCUCUGGUAGCACAUCGGCUAAUGCACGAGCUUGUCAUUACAUUUGUCAGCGCAAAAUCGGGUUCGAUUCCCGGCUAGAGAG